GGUAGACGCUACGGACUUAAAUCCCUUGACCGUAAAGGGUCGUGGGGGUUC
RNAcentral lists this transfer RNA (51 nucleotides) under Nostoc sp. TPCC51. RNAcentral's name for it is "partial tRNA-Leu". Lineage: Bacteria; Bacillati; Cyanobacteriota; Cyanophyceae; Nostocales; Nostocaceae. The record is from RNAcentral.